Non-coding RNA from Pelobates cultripes (western spadefoot toad), 430 nucleotides. Lineage: Eukaryota; Metazoa; Chordata; Amphibia; Anura; Pelobatidae. The record is from the annotation of a GenBank genome assembly.
GUAACAUGUCGUCGUUCGGUAGGAGGAUCGGGUCCUGAUAAGACAAUUCGAGAAGGUCCGGGAACCAGGGCUGACUCGGCCAGAGGGGCGUCAGCAGGGUCAGUCGAACCCUUCGUCUGCGAAGGUGAUUGAGAACUCUGGCAAUCAUGGCGAAUGGGGGAAAGGCAUAUGCCCCUUGUUGUGGCCAGUGCUGAGUGAAGGCAUCUACCGCUAAGCAAUCCGGGUCCGGUAGCCAGCUGUAGAACCUGGCGGGACCUGUCGGUUGUUUCGUGAGGCAAAGAGGUCCAAUAGAAAGGGUCCCUUCUGGUCUUGUAGGUGUGCGAAUAUUUGCGGAUCCAGUUGCCAGUUGCUGGCAUCCCUCCAAUGACGGGAAUACCAAUCCGCCAUGAGGUUCGUCUCCCCCGGCAGGUGUUCUGCCCGUAGUGUGAUA